GCUAGUUUGGCAGAAAAGUGUGAUGAAUUUAGGAUUCCUUUAUAUGUCCAUUAUGUACAUAACUGGUA
This 68-nucleotide transfer RNA is filed under the name Asiopsocus sonorensis. RNAcentral describes it as "tRNA-Leu". The record is from RNAcentral. Lineage: Eukaryota; Metazoa; Arthropoda; Insecta; Psocodea; Asiopsocidae.